RNAcentral lists this ribosomal RNA (589 nucleotides) under uncultured bacterium. RNAcentral's name for it is "bacterial SSU rRNA". It matches the Rfam family "Bacterial small subunit ribosomal RNA", at positions 338 to 917 of the family's 1533-position model. The record is from RNAcentral.
UCUACGGGAGGCAGCAGUAGGGAAUCUUCCGCAAUGGACGAAAGUCUGACGGAGCAACGCCGCGUGAGUGAAGAAGGUUUUCGGAUCGUAAAACUCUGUUGUUAGGGAAGAACAAGUGCCGUUCGAAUAGGGCGGCACCUUGACGGUACCUAACCAGAAAGCCACGGCUAACUACGUGCCAGCAGCCGCGGUAAUACGUAGGUGGCAAGCGUUGUCCGGAAUUAUUGGGCGUAAAGCGCGCGCAGGUGGUUUCUUAAGUCUGAUGUGAAAGCCCACGGCUCAACCGUGGAGGGUCAUUGGAAACUGGGGAACUUGAGUGCAGAAGAGGAAAGUGGAAUUCCAAGUGUAGCGGUGAAAUGCGUAGAUAUUUGGAGGAACACCAGUGGCGAAGGCGACUUUCUGGUCUGUAACUGACACUGAGGCGCGAAAGCGUGGGGAGCAAACAGGAUUAGAUACCCUGGUAGUCCACGCCGUAAACGAUGAGUGCUAAGUGUUAGAGGGUUUCCGCCCUUUAGUGCUGCAGCUAACGCAUUAAGCACUCCGCCUGGGGAGUACGGUCGCAAGACUGAAACUCAAAGGAAUUGACGGA